CCUUACCUACUCUUGACAUCCAGAGAACUUUCCAGAGAUGGAUUGGUGCCUUCGGGAACUCUGAGACAGGUGCUGCAUGGCUGUCGUCAGCUCGUGUUGUGAAAUGUUGGGUUAAGUCCCGCAACGAGCGCAACCCUUAUCCUUGUUUGCCAGCGAGUAAUGUCGGGAACUCCAGGGAGACUGCCGGUGAUAAACCGGAGGAAGGUGGGGACGACGUCAAGUCAUCAUGGCCCUUACGAGUAGGGCUACACACGUGCUACAAUGGCGCAUACAGAGGGCGGCCAACUUGCGAAAGUGAGCGAAUCCCAAAAAGUGCGUCGUAGUCCGGAUUGGAGUCUGCAACUCGACUCCAUGAAGUCGGAAUCGCUAGUAAUCGUGGAUCAGAAUGCCACGGUGAAUACGUUCCCGGGCCUUGUACACACCGCCCGUCACACCAUGGGAGUGGGCUGCAAAAGAAGUAGGUAGUUUAACCUUCGGGGGG
This 481-nucleotide ribosomal RNA is filed under the name Vibrio parahaemolyticus. RNAcentral's name for it is "bacterial SSU rRNA". It matches the Rfam family "Bacterial small subunit ribosomal RNA", at positions 969 to 1449 of the family's 1533-position model. Lineage: Bacteria; Pseudomonadati; Pseudomonadota; Gammaproteobacteria; Vibrionales; Vibrionaceae. The record is from RNAcentral.